GAUGAACGCUGGCGGCGUGCCUAAUACAUGCAAGUCGAGCGAACGGACGAGAAGCUUGCUUCUCUGAUGUUAGCGGCGGACGGGUGAGUAACACGUGGAUAACCUACCUAUAAGACUGGGAUAACUUCGGGAAACCGGAGCUAAUACCGGAUAAUAUUUUGAACCGCAUGGUUCAAAAGUGAAAGACGGUCUUGCUGUCACUUAUAGAUGGAUCCGCGCUGCAUUAGCUAGUUGGUAAGGUAACGGCUUACCAAGGCAACGAUGCAUAGCCGACCUGAGAGGGUGAUCGGCCACACUGGAACUGAGACACGGUCCAGACUCCUACGGGAGGCAGCAGUAGGGAAUCUUCCGCAGUGGGCGAAAGCCUGACGGAGCAACGCCGCGUGAGUGAUGAAGGUCUUCGGAUCGUAAAACUCUGUUAUUAGGGAAGAACAUAUGUGUAAGUAACUGUGCACAUCUUGACGGUACCUAAUCAGAAAGCCACGGCUAACUACGUGCCAGCAGCCGCGGUAAUACGUAGGUGGCAAGCGUUAUCCGGAAUUAUUGGGCGUAAAGCGCGCGUAGGCGGUUUUUUAAGUCUGAUGUGAAAGCCCACGGCUCAACCGUGGAGGGUCAUUGGAAACUGGAAAACUUGAGUGCAGAAGAGGAAAGUGGAAUUCCAUGUGUAGCGGUGAAAUGCGCAGAGAUAUGGAGGAACACCAGUGGCGAAGGCGACUUUCUGGUCUGUAACUGACGCUGAUGUGCGAAAGCGUGGGGAUCAAACAGGAUUAGAUACCCUGGUAGUCCACGCCGUAAACGAUGAGUGCUAAGUGUUAGGGGGUUUCCGCCCCUUAGUGCUGCAGCUAACGCAUUAAGCACUCCGCCUGGGGAGUACGACCGCAAGGUUGAAACUCAAAGGAAUUGACGGGGACCCGCACAAGCGGUGGAGCAUGUGGUUUAAUUCGAAGCAACGCGAAGAACCUUACCAAAUCUUGACAUCCUUUGACAACUCUAGAGAUAGAGCUUUCCCCUUCGGGGGACAAAGUGACAGGUGGUGCAUGGUUGUCGUCAGCUCGUGUCGUGAGAUGUUGGGUUAAGUCCCGCAACGAGCGCAACCCUUAAGCUUAGUUGCCAUCAUUAAGUUGGGCACUCUAAGUUGACUGCCGGUGACAAACCGGAGGAAGGUGGGGAUGACGUCAAAUCAUCAUGCCCCUUAUGAUUUGGGCUACACACGUGCUACAAUGGACAAUACAAAGGGCAGCGAAACCGCGAGGUCAAACAAAUCCCAUAAAGUUGUUCUCAGUUCGGAUUGUAGUCUGCAACUCGACUGCAUGAAGCUGGAAUCGCUAGUAAUCGUAGAUCAGCAUGCUACGGUGAAUACGUUCCCGGGUCU
RNAcentral lists this ribosomal RNA (1372 nucleotides) under uncultured bacterium. Its description in RNAcentral is "bacterial SSU rRNA". It matches the Rfam family "Bacterial small subunit ribosomal RNA", at positions 28 to 1381 of the family's 1533-position model. The record is from RNAcentral.